RNAcentral lists this transfer RNA (64 nucleotides) under Moina macrocopa. Its description in RNAcentral is "tRNA-Arg". Lineage: Eukaryota; Metazoa; Arthropoda; Branchiopoda; Diplostraca; Moinidae. The record is from RNAcentral.
GAAUUUGAAGUAAAGGUUACAUUUAGUUUCGGCCUAAAUAUUGGUUUUAUAAAACCCAAAUUCU